AUUGAACGCUGGCGACAUGCCUUACACAUGCAAGUCGAACGGCAGCACGGGUGCUUGCACCUGGUGGCGAGUGGCGAACGGGUGAGUAAUACAUCGGAACAUGUCCUGUAGUGGGGGAUAGCCCGGCGAAAGCCGGAUUAAUACCGCAUACGAUCUACGGAUGAAAGCGGGGGACCUUCGGGCCUCGCGCUAUAGGGUUGGCCGAUGGCUGAUUAGCUAGUUGGUGGGGUAAAGGCCUACCAAGGCGACGAUCAGUAGCUGGUCUGAGAGGACGAGCAGCCACACUAGGACUGAGACACGGCCCAGACUCCUACGGGAGGCAGCAGUGGGGAAUUUUGGACAAUGGGCGAAAGCCUGAUCCAGCAAUGCCGCGUGUGUGAAGAAGGCCUUCGGGUUGUAAAGCACUUUUGUCCGGAAAGAAAUCCUUGGCCCUAAUACGGUCGGGGGAUGACGGUACCGGAAGAAUAAGCACCGGCUAACUACGUG
This 486-nucleotide ribosomal RNA is filed under the name uncultured bacterium. RNAcentral describes it as "partial 16S ribosomal RNA". It matches the Rfam family "Bacterial small subunit ribosomal RNA", at positions 30 to 507 of the family's 1533-position model. The record is from RNAcentral.